This 633-nucleotide ribosomal RNA is filed under the name Marinosulfonomonas sp. PRT-SC04. RNAcentral describes it as "bacterial LSU rRNA". It matches the Rfam family "Bacterial large subunit ribosomal RNA", at positions 2286 to 2925 of the family's 2925-position model. Lineage: Bacteria; Pseudomonadati; Pseudomonadota; Alphaproteobacteria; Rhodobacterales; Paracoccaceae. The record is from RNAcentral.
CCGCCUAAAGAGUAACGGAGGCGCGCGAAGGUUGGCUCAGACCGGUCGGAAAUCGGUCGUUGAGUGCAAUGGCAGAAGCCAGCCUGACUGCGAGACUGACAAGUCGAGCAGAGUCGAAAGACGGCCAUAGUGAUCCGGUGGUCCCGAGUGGAAGGGCCAUCGCUCAACGGAUAAAAGGUACGCCGGGGAUAACAGGCUGAUGGUGCCCAAGAGUCCAUAUCGACGGCACCGUUUGGCACCUCGAUGUCGGCUCAUCUCAUCCUGGGGCUGGAGCAGGUCCCAAGGGUACGGCUGUUCGCCGUUUAAAGAGGUACGUGAGCUGGGUUUAGAACGUCGUGAGACAGUUCGGUCCCUAUCUGCCGUGGGUGUAGGAUACUUGAGAGGAGUUGCCCCUAGUACGAGAGGACCGGGGUGAACGUUCCACUGGUGGACCAGUUGUCAUGCCAAUGGCAGUGCUGGGUAGCUAUGAACGGACAGGAUAACCGCUGAAGGCAUCUAAGCGGGAAGCCCCCCUCAAAACAAGGUAUCCCUGAGAGCCGAGGUAGACCACCUCGUCGAUAGGCCAGAGAUGUAAGCGCGGCAACGCGUUCAGUUGACUGGUACUAAUUGCUCGAUAGGCUUGAUUUGAUCCAG